CGCAGAGAUCCCACCCUGUGCCCUGCCGCAGAGACCCCCGGAGGAAAAGCAGACUCCCAGCGCCAGAGCCCCUGUGCUAGCAGGAGAGGGCGGUCCGGCCAGGCCCGCGAGAAAAUCCCAGCCCUUCCGAAUCCCUCCAAUCCUGCAUGGACUAGGACUGCAGUACAGUGUUGAGAAGAAGUGGAGAGAGUGGACAUCCUUGUGUCUUCCACAAUUGCAGGCAGAACAUUUUUACUUAUUAAGUACGAUGCUUGCUGUACCUCUCUCCUAUGCAACCUGUGUCAUAAUAAGGAAGUGUCCACCAAUUCCCAGUUUGCAAAGAGCGUUUUAAAACUUCAUGUUUUGGCACACAGGCUGUGCUGGCUUCACAUAAAAUCACUGGGAAUCGUUCCGUUUUCUUUGCUCCGGUGGACUUCGGAAAUGUUUGCAUCCUUGGAUGAAAGGUGGCGUGCGAUGAGCCCCCAGACAGAAGACAACUUGCUGUAGCUACCACCUGCGGUCUCCGGAAAAUUCCUCCUCUUCAGAGGCUGCACUCUGCAACUCAGAGCCUUUCUCUUUCUCCACCUGAGACCGGUUAUUGCUUUUAGCCCAGAGCCAUCGCAAGACUCAGAGAGCAAAGAUACAGUGGGAGCCCUAAAAUAAAUUACAAAGUCCAAAACGGAACACACUUAGAGUGAGCUCCCAGUGGGAAAAAAAUAGGUAAUGCUUCAGAGCUGUUUACAUAAAAGAAACCGCCGGACCAAUAUAUCAUUGGGUCCUUUUAACUUUAGCAUCUGAAUGGAUUUAAUUCUGAUUUUUAACUUGACCGAUCAAUUCAUACAUUGGAGCAGUUGCAAUAUCCUCUUGCUUACAGCGACCGACUUGCCACUUGUUGUCUGUCUGGCAGCAGGCUUGUUUCUUCGGCAAAUAUUAAGGAAGACCCACUGAGUGCCAGUUCCCUGCCAGGCACUGGGCUGCCAGCGGAGAGCCAGCCCGUCCGCAGGGAGCCAGGCUCUGGUGGACAAGUCGAACCCUCCCGGGACACUCCGCACGGCUUCGACAGGCCUGGGUGGCAAGCUCGGACACUUCUGGCCUGGCCGUUUCCGGGAAACACUUGCUGGACCACAGCGGCUCAGUGGUCUGUGCCAUACUUUCCAGAACAUUCUCCGCCUCUAGCCAGCAGCCUGCCCCCCCCCACCCCCAGCACUGCCUGCAGCUCACGCUACAUUCAUUGAUUGACAGGCGCAGAUGCACCCCGGGCCAGGGAGCCUUGAGCAGAGCAAAUGUGAAUCUGCUGUGCUAUGAGCCCAGGGCCCUCCCCUGUUGGGUGUGUGUGACUCCCAGGCCAGACCCCUAAGGGCGCCCGCUGUCACCCUGGAUGCACAGGGCUGGCGCUGGCUUUGCGGCCCACUGUGGGCGACACUGUGGCCUGGGGCGGGGCAAGGCCUGCUCCGAGGCACGCACGCCCUGCCACCCUCCGCGAGUCCCUACCCUCCACUCCCGGGCUGUGAUUUCCGGGCCCAGACAGCACCGCUCAUCUGCGAGCACAGACGGGAAACGAGCUGCCCCCUCGGACAACCUGUGACCUCCGGCGACUGCCGCCAGGGCCACUCAGGGCAACU
Microcebus murinus (gray mouse lemur) is the source of this 1601-nucleotide non-coding RNA. NCBI's taxonomy places the organism in Eukaryota, Metazoa, Chordata, Mammalia, Primates, Cheirogaleidae. The record is from RefSeq and is a predicted model, not a curated record.